CACACUGCCCUCUGGACUGGGCCUCCCAGCACGGGCUGGGGUGUGGAGAAGCCUUCUGAUCACUGUCAUGCUGUGCUGCUCUCCCCUCCCUUCCCCAGGCCCUCACCAGUCCCUCCCAGCCCCGCUGGCUCCUGUCCAUGAGGCCGCACCCCGCUUUGGCCUAACUGCUGAUGAGCUCCCCUUCCUCACCUUCCCAUACUCCUUCAAGUAGUCUCGCUGCUAAGCUCAGGCUUAUUUUUCUUCUGACCCUGUACCCUGGAAUCCAGCCCAGCUUCUCUCACCCGGUUUCUCUUCCCUCCCGCUGGCUCCUCAGGAACCCGCCAAGGCCGCAGCAGAGCUGAGCCAUCCAUCUGCACCCGGGAGGACAGCCCUGGACUGCCGGCCUCCAGAGCCCUGAGAGUGAACUCUUCUCUCGGCCGCCUCAUCUGCGGGGCUUCGUUCUUAAACCACCCAACCCAUCAGGCUCCAGCGGAAGGAGAAAGCCAGAGGAAGCAGAGGGAUGAACAGGAGUUAACUGUGCAAGGCAAGCGGCGGAGAAGGUGGUCCCGGGCGAGGGAAUCCGGACAAAGGAGCCAGAGUGAGAAAUUGGAGGGGAAAGACUGUGGAGAGGUCAACAAGUCAGAGGACGCCGGAGCCCCAGGGACGGAAGCUGACAGCAGCAGGCCAGAGUCUCCCGAGCAGAGCACUGAGGAGGACCCUUGACUGGAGCCAUCUGGACGCCGCAAUGCUCAAGGAAAAGUUUCACGCCUGCAAGAACCACACCCUGAGCAGCCAAAGACCAAUCCCGGCCCCUGAGCCAAAGCGACAGCCCCUGCGGGCCAUGUCUGCUCGCGGAGGUGGAUGCCCAAGACAGCUCCCAGGCCAGAGAGGCCCUAGCAGCCUGUGGCGAGACAUGGCGUUCACCCUGGGCUCACUCCGAUGCCGCCUCGUAAGGACGUGUGAAGCGCUGGGCUGUUGGUAAGUAGGUGGCCGAAGGCACCAUGGUCCACACCUUUGGCAAUCCAGCAUUCAUUCCUCUGCCUCUUCUCAAAAUUACACUUCCUAGAAGGACGCUUUUCCUGAAAGAAUCCAUGCAUGACUUGAGGGGACACCAAAUCUCCUCUAGCCAGUCGCCC
Long non-coding RNA from Heterocephalus glaber (naked mole-rat), 1115 nucleotides. NCBI's taxonomy places the organism in Eukaryota, Metazoa, Chordata, Mammalia, Rodentia, Bathyergidae. The record is from Ensembl.